CAACUUUCAACAACGGAUCUCUUGGCUCUCGCAUCGAUGAAGAACGCAGCGGAAUGCGAUAAGUAAUGUGAAUUGCAGAUUUUCAGUGAAUCAUCGAAUCUUUGAACGCACCUUGCGCUCCUUGGUAUUCCGAGGAGCAUGCCUGUUUGAGUGUCAUUA
This 159-nucleotide ribosomal RNA is filed under the name uncultured fungus. Its description in RNAcentral is "5.8S ribosomal RNA". It matches the Rfam family "5.8S ribosomal RNA". From Rfam's summary of the family: 5.8S ribosomal RNA (5.8S rRNA) is a component of the large subunit of the eukaryotic ribosome. The record is from RNAcentral. Lineage: Eukaryota; Fungi.